GAUGAACGCUGGCGGCGUGCCUAAUACAUGCAAGUCGAGCGAAUGGAUUAAGAGCUUGCUCUUAUGAAGUUAGCGGCGGACGGGUGAGUAACACGUGGGUAACCUGCCCAUAAGACUGGGAUAACUCCGGGAAACCGGGGCUAAUACCGGAUAACAUUUUGAACCGCAUGGUUCGAAAUUGAAAGGCGGCUUCGGCUGUCACUUAUGGAUGGAACCGCGUCGCAUUAGCUAGUUGGUGAGGUAACGGCUCACCAAGGCAACGAUGCGUAGCCGACCGGGGAGGGUGAUCGGCCACACGGGGACUGAGACACGGCCCAGACUCCGACGGGAGGCAGCAGUAGGGAAUCUUCCGCAAUGGACGAAAGUCUGACGGAGCAACGCCGCGUGAGUGAUGAAGGCUUUCGGGUCGUAAAACUCUGUUGUUAGGGAAGAACAAGUGCUAGUUGAAUAAGCUGGCACCUUGACGGUACCUAACCAGAAAGCCACGGCUAACUACGUGCCAGCCGCCGCCGUAA
This 515-nucleotide ribosomal RNA is filed under the name uncultured bacterium. RNAcentral's name for it is "partial 16S ribosomal RNA". It matches the Rfam family "Bacterial small subunit ribosomal RNA", at positions 28 to 523 of the family's 1533-position model. The record is from RNAcentral.